UUGUAGCUCAGUUGGAUAGAGCAAUGGCCUUCUAAGCCAUGUGUCCAGGGUUCGAAUCCCCG
Molecule: transfer RNA, 62 nt
Filed under: human gut metagenome
Rfam family: tRNA
About the family: Transfer RNA (tRNA) molecules are approximately 80 nucleotides in length. Their secondary structure includes four short double-helical elements and three loops (D, anti-codon, and T loops). Further hydrogen bonds mediate the characteristic L-shaped molecular structure. tRNAs have two regions of fundamental functional importance: the anti-codon, which is responsible for specific mRNA codon recognition, and the 3' end, to which the tRNAs corresponding amino acid is attached (by aminoacyl-tRNA synthetases). tRNAs cope with the degeneracy of the genetic code in two manners: having more than one tRNA (with a specific anti-codon) for a particular amino acid; and 'wobble' base-pairing, i.e. permitting non-standard base-pairing at the 3rd anti-codon position.
Source: RNAcentral